GAAGGUGGCAUCUUAGUUGAGAUCUGAAUGACAACAGCAGCGAAGAGAAAUGUUCAGAUGUCAAGAAAGGGCUGAGCACGUUCCCAGGAGAGAAGGGUACGCAUGGCUCCGGUGGGAAGGACAGGUGGACCUGGACACCAUGAGAAAUGGAAGUCCACGGACAAGUGUAAGCAGGCCUGGCAGCGAAGGUGUACAUGCCUGAGAACGGUCUCCGGCUGCUGAGCUGCAGUAAUGCCACUGUCUAAACUCCUGUGACUGGAAAAAGCCAUUGGGAAGAAGUCAUUCCUCACUCGCAAGGCGGCUGGCUGAUGUCAUCCAUAUAUGCCUUUAGAAACACAUGUACCUUGGCUGUCCCAUGAGCCAGUCCUCCCCUGAGUAGGUGCCACGCCCAACAUGAGGCUUGAACUCAGGACCCUGAGAUCAAGAGUCACAUGCUCUACCAACUGAGCCAGCCAGGCACCACUCUUCAUUACCUCUUCAAAGGCUCUAUAUCCAAAUAAAGUUCACACUGGGGAUUAGGGCUUUAGCAUAUGAAUUUGGAGGGACACAAUUCAGUCCAUAACAGAGUAAGUUACAGAAUAAAGCGGGGGUAAAGAUGUAGGUAACAAGAGGUGGAGAAUCUCAGUUUUGCUCUGAAGACGAGAAACGAGGCCAUGACUGGCGAGGGAGGCAGUGGGGUCGAGAGAGGUUCCAGAGGCACCUCCCCACUCCCCAGUACACACAUAUGGGAGAUAUCAGAACCAAGGCAGGCACCGAGAGGUGAGUUCCAGAUGAACAGCAAGUCAAAGAAUGCCAUGCAAUGCACUUACGGAGCAACCGAGCAAGGUUCUUUGGCAUGACUUACUCCUUGAAGCUCCUGGUGUACCUUGUUCUGCCUUGCCCA
This is a non-coding RNA of Callorhinus ursinus (northern fur seal), 883 nucleotides long. NCBI's taxonomy places the organism in Eukaryota, Metazoa, Chordata, Mammalia, Carnivora, Otariidae. The record is from RefSeq and is a predicted model, not a curated record.